RNAcentral lists this ribosomal RNA (547 nucleotides) under uncultured bacterium. RNAcentral's name for it is "partial 16S ribosomal RNA". It matches the Rfam family "Bacterial small subunit ribosomal RNA", at positions 355 to 895 of the family's 1533-position model. The record is from RNAcentral.
UGGGGAAUUUUGGACAAUGGGCGAAAGCCUGAUCCAGCAAUGCCGCGUGUGUGAAGAAGGCCUUCGGGUUGUAAAGCACUUUUGUCCGGAAAGAAAUCCUUGGCUCUAAUACAGUCGGGGGAUGACGGUACCGGAAGAAUAAGCACCGGCUAACUACGUGCCAGCAGCCGCGGUAAUACGUAGGGUGCAAGCGUUAAUCGGAAUUACUGGGCGUAAAGCGUGCGCAGGCGGUUUGCUAAGACCGAUGUGAAAUCCCCGGGCUCAACCUGGGAACUGCAUUGGUGACUGGCAGGCUAGAGUAUGGCAGAGGGGGGUUAGAAUUCCACGUGUAGCAGUGAAAUGCGUAGAGAUGUGGAGGAAUACCGAUGGCGAAGGCAGCCCCCUGGGCCAAUACUGACGCUCAUGCACGAAAGCGUGGGGAGCAAACAGGAUUAGAUACCCUGGUAGUCCACGCCCUAAACGAUGUCAACUAGUUGUUGGGGAUUCAUUCCUUAGUAACGUAGCUAACGCGUGAAGUUGACCGCCUGGGGAGUACGGUCGCAAGAUU